UCGAUGGGGCGGCGAACCCCGCAACCCUACCAAGAAGUGGACGAAUCUCGACCAAACACCACGGUGGUGGCGAAGGGAUUGGAGAAGAUGAAGAUGAAGAAGACGAAGGCCGUCCCUAUCCCGACCCUCCGUCUUGUGUGUUAGGGCUUCCUCCUAGCCAUGGUAAUUGACCAAGGUAAAGCCCUAGUGGAAGCUGGAGCCCAAGUGUUCUCAUGCUUCUCUCGUCAUCGAUGCCUUGACAGAUUACAAAGAGGAUUCAAUCUACAGCAUACUUCUUCCUGAUUACUUGAAGAAAAUAACUGGUCGAUUAUAAGCACUUGGCUACUGAAGACUGCAGUUAUCGGGAUGCUUACAAUUUUGACAAUGGAUCACCAACCAGCAUUAUCCGAUCUUGUAGCGAAUCUGUUAGCUGUUUUCAGAGCAUUCAAAUAUUAUCGGCGGCAUUGAUCCACCAGACAAUCUUGGAAAUGGCAAUGCUUGGAGAGGCCAAUUUGACGAGGUCGCAUUUACAUUCUUGCAUCACAGAAAUGUCAGUCCAGUAUCAAUAAGUGAUGACAUCAUUCCAAUUGACCAAGGUUACUCUUGCAACUGUGACCGUUUUCAAGUCACAAAAACAACACAUUGAUUUAUAUCGAAGUCUCAUGCAAUGAAUCAAUCUUCAUCCUUGGAUGCGAACAGUUGGGCUUUUUGCAGUCACUUUUGGAGAGGUUUCAGAUUUUCUUCUCAUACAGGUGAUCCUUAUCACAAUCUUGUUUUUGUUAUGAUGCAAACCAUAUGUUGUAAUCUUAGAAAAAAUGACCAAAA
This is a long non-coding RNA of Musa acuminata AAA Group (dessert banana), 804 nucleotides long. RefSeq lists it as uncharacterized. The transcript has 4 exons. Lineage: Eukaryota; Viridiplantae; Streptophyta; Magnoliopsida; Zingiberales; Musaceae. The record is from RefSeq and is a predicted model, not a curated record.